RNAcentral lists this ribosomal RNA (463 nucleotides) under uncultured Mycoplasma sp. RNAcentral's name for it is "bacterial SSU rRNA". It matches the Rfam family "Bacterial small subunit ribosomal RNA", at positions 338 to 795 of the family's 1533-position model. Lineage: Bacteria; Bacillati; Mycoplasmatota; Mollicutes; Mycoplasmatales; Mycoplasmataceae. The record is from RNAcentral.
CCUACGGGAGGCUGCAGUAGGGAAUUUUUCACAAUGGACGAAAGUCUGAUGGAGCAAUACCACGUGAACGAUGAAGGUCUUCUGAUUGUAAAGUUCUUUUAUUUAGGAAAAAAAGCGUGCUAGGAAAUGAGCGCGCCUUGAUGGUACUAAUUGAAUAAGUGACAGCUAACUAUGUGCCAGCAGCUGCGGUAAAACAUAGGUCACGAGCAUUAUCCGGAUUUAUUGGGCGUAAAGGAAGCGUAGGCGGGGAGGUUGAUCCAUUGUUAAAAGCAUUUGCUUAACAAAUGUGUGCAUUGGAGAUCGCCUCCCUAGAGUUAAUCAGGGGGUACUGGAAUUCAAUGUGUAGCGGUGGAAUGCGUAGAUAUAUUGAGGAACACCAGAGGCUAAGGCGAGUGCCUAGGAUAUAACUGACGCUGAGGCUUGAAAGCGUGGGGAGCAAAUGGGAUUAGAUACCCUGGUAGUC